This 1468-nucleotide ribosomal RNA is filed under the name metagenome. Its description in RNAcentral is "bacterial SSU rRNA". It matches the Rfam family "Bacterial small subunit ribosomal RNA". The record is from RNAcentral.
AGAGUUUGAUUCUGGCUCAGGAUAAACGCUGGCGGUGUGCUUAAUGCAUGCAAGUCGAACGGAGAUGAAACUUCGGUUUUAUCUCAGUGGCGAACGGGUGAGUAACACGUAAGUAACCUGUCCUUAAGUGGGGAAUAACUCCGGGAAACCGGGGCUAAUACCGCAUAUGGUAAUCGGGUUUAAGCUUGAUUAUCAAAGCCGCAAGGCGCUUGAGGAGGGGCUUGCGUCCUAUCAGGUAGUUGGUGAGGUAACGGCCCACCAAGCCUAUGACGGGUAGCUGGUCUGAGAGGACGGUCAGCCACACGGGGACUGAGACACGGCCCCGACUCCUACGGGAGGCAGCAGCAGGGAAUCUUGCGCAAUGGGUGAAAGCCUGACGCAGCAACACCGCGUGGGGGAUGAAGGCUCACGGGUCGUAAACCCCUUUUUCUCAGGGAAGAAAGAAAUGACGGUACUUGAGGAAUAAGCCUCGGCCAACUACGUGCCAGCAGCCGCGGUAAUACGUAGGAGGCAAGCGUUAUCCGGAUUUACUGGGCGUAAAGAGCGCGCGGGCGGUCCUUUAAGCUAGGUGUGAAAACUCUCAGCUUAACUGAGAGACGCCAUCUAAUACUGGGGGGCUUGAGGGCAGCAGAGGAAGAUGGAAUUCCCGGUGUAGUGGUGAAAUGCGUAGAUAUCGGGAGGAACACCAGUGGCGAAGGCGGUCUUCUGGGCUGUACCUGACGCUGAGGCGCGAAAGCGUGGGGAGCAAACAGGAUUAGAUACCCUGGUAGUCCACGCCCUAAACGUUGGACACUGGAUAUGGGGGGUAUCGACCCCCUCCGUGUCGAAGCUAACGCUUUAAGUGUCCCGCCUGGGAACUACGAUCGCAAGGUUAAAACUCAAAGAAAUUGACGGGGGCCCGCACAAGCAGCGGAGCGUGUGGUUUAAUUCGAUGCUUCGCGAAGAACCUUACCAAGGCUUGACAUGCUGGAAGUAGAAACCCGAAAGGGCAACGACCUGUUAAAUCAGGAGCCUGCACAGGUGCUGCAUGGCUGUCGUCAGCUCGUGCCGUGAGGUGUUGGGUUAAGUCUCGCAACGAGCGCAACCCUCGUCGCCAGUUGUAUUUUUCUGGCAAGACUGCCCCGCAAAACGGGGAGGAAGGCGGGGAUGACGUCAAGUCAGCACGGCCUUUAUGCCUUGGGCUACACACACGCUACAAUGGACGGUACAACGGGGUGCUUAAGAGCAAUCUGAAGCGAAUCCCUAAAAACCGUUCUCAGUUCGGAUUGCAGGCUGCAACUCGCCUGCAUGAAGUUGGAGUUGCUAGUAACCGCGGGUCAGCUCACCGCGGUGAAUACGUUCUCGGGCCUUGUACACACCGCCCGUCACGUCAUGGGAGCUGGUAACACCUGAAACCGCUGGGCUAACCAUUCGUGGAGGUAGGCGUCCAGGGUGGGACUGGUGACUGUGACGAAGUCGUAACAAGGUA